GACGAACGCUGGCGGCGUGCUUAACACAUGCAAGUCGAACGGAAAGGCCCCUUUGGGGGUACUUGCGUGGCGAACGGGUGAGUAACACGUGAGUAACCUGCCCUUCACUUCGGGAUAACUUCAGUAAACUGGGGCUAAUACCGGAUAGGAAUCCUUGCUGCAUGGUGGGGGUUGGUAAGCUUCGGCGGUUUUGGAUGGACUCGCGGCUUAUCAGCUUGUUGGUGGGGUAGUGGGUUACCAAGGCUUUGACGGGUAGCCGGCCUGAGAGGGGGACCGGCCACAAUGGGGAUGAAGUAAGGCCCAAGCUCCUAAGGGGGGGAGCAGGGGGGAAUAUUGCACAAUGGGCGGAAGGCUGGUGCAGCAACGCCGCGGGCGGGAAGACGGCCUUCGGGUUGUAAACCGCUUUCAGCAGGGGCGAAGCUUGUGGUGACGGUACCUGCAGAAGAAGCACCGGCUAACUACGUG
Molecule: ribosomal RNA, 465 nt
Filed under: uncultured bacterium
Lineage: Bacteria
Description: partial 16S ribosomal RNA
Rfam family: Bacterial small subunit ribosomal RNA
Source: RNAcentral